This 502-nucleotide ribosomal RNA is filed under the name uncultured bacterium. RNAcentral describes it as "partial 16S ribosomal RNA". It matches the Rfam family "Bacterial small subunit ribosomal RNA", at positions 899 to 1397 of the family's 1533-position model. The record is from RNAcentral.
ACUCAAAUGAAUUGACGGGGAUCUACACAAGCGGUGGAGCAUGUGGUUUAAUUCGACGCCACGCGCAAAACCUUACCAGCUCUUGCAUAUUAGAUGUUUGGAUAAUAAUAAAUCCAAGACGCAAAAAUCUAUUACAGGUGUUGCAUGGCUGUCUUCAGCUCGUGUCGUGAGAUGUUGGGUUCAGUUCCUGAACGAGCGAGACCCUCGACUUCUGUUGCUCUGUACAAAUACUUUUUUCAGAGAAUCAGGGGUUCAGACCCGCCGCAAGCGGGAGGAAGAUGGGGAUGAUGACAAGCCCUCAUGACCCUUAUGGGCUGGGCUACACACGUGCUACAAUGGUAAUUACAAAGGGGAGCAAUAUAGUGAUUUGGAGCAAAUCCCGAAAAAUUAUCUCAGUUCCGAUUAAACUCUGCAAUUCGAGUUUAUGAAGUUGGAAUCGCUAGUAAUCGUGGAUCAGCACGCCACGGUGAAUAUGUUCCUGGAUCUUGUACACACCGCCCGU